GGCAUUUCUGGUUUGCCAUGGAACCCGAGUUCGAGUCGGACUUCAUUGGCGGGUUCCGGAACACGUCCCAUCCUUUUGUCUCAACGAUCAAUUCUCUCAGAGUCACGUCGAAACUGAGGAAGUCGCGUACCGUUAGCUACCAAUUCGGAAUAAUAAGUUUCUGGGACGAUGCACGCGAUCGGGUGCGACGAACUGUUAUUGCUUGCGAAAGGGAAUGCGGUUGAUCGGAGACAGCCGGCAGUGGAGAGCUAAAUUUCUAAUAAUCAGUUAGAUUAUACUGAUUAUUGCACCCUGCAUGAAUUACGACACAAGCGUCGUGAUCUUGCGUCUUAUUCGUCGAGAGAUGUAGCAAAAGAUUCAUCCGAUAAAAGACGGAUGACUGGUCAAGAAUGACGGUGAGAAUAGAGAUGAGAUUAGAAAAGGAUAAGUGGAAAAGUCCGUUCGUCGAUACCAAAAGGAUUAACCCAACGGGUUAAAAGGCUUAUUUAUCUCUCGUCGAUCUUUCAUCAAACUUUCGACGAGACAGGAUAUGCAGCGGACUCCGGGACGAGGAUCGCCAAAGAAUUUCGCUCCGCGAGUGUGAGUGUGAGUCACAUGUGCAGAAAAGAGCCAGAGUUCUCGGAGGAACGCGAGGUCACGAGGAAAGGAACGACCUUGCCACGGAGAAUAUAUUUCGAGAAUGGAUUUUAACGCUACGACGAUCGGCAGCCGGAUCCAGUUCAUCGUCCCCGAUCGCCCGAUCGUGUGGGUAUGUAGUAUGUAUGUGAACCAAUGUUUUUUCCGAUCAUUCCUAACCGUCUGCCUCAUCGCACAUUGUACAUCGCUUGCUUCUUCACCGAGGAAGCAGGAUCCUAGCGAGUACUUACCCACGAUUUCUCG
Temnothorax curvispinosus is the source of this 879-nucleotide long non-coding RNA. RefSeq lists it as uncharacterized. NCBI's taxonomy places the organism in Eukaryota, Metazoa, Arthropoda, Insecta, Hymenoptera, Formicidae. The record is from RefSeq and is a predicted model, not a curated record. The transcript has 3 exons.